UACUGAGAUGGCCUCCAAAGCCUGAUGUGAUCACAGGUGUCUAUGGGGAGCUGACUGGAUCGUGAAGCGUGACAAUCACCAAUGAACUGGUCCACUGAUGUUACAGUAUCGAAGGAAAUUGAGAAUCGAGCACAAACUUCCCAGUUCCAUUAAGGAUAUGAAAGGAUAAGAAUGAGAAGCCAUGGUGCAUCUCGGUGGUGAGCAACUGAGGUUUGGGAUAUCAGGAAAUCUAGGAAGAAAAUGGUGUCUUACAGGGUGUGAGGUGGACGACUGGCCAGAGUUUCACUUUCCAUAGCACUUCCUGGAUGGAUUGUACUAGCCACACAAGCGGAAAACUGCGG
This is a long non-coding RNA of Fukomys damarensis (Damara mole-rat), 341 nucleotides long. RefSeq lists it as uncharacterized. The transcript has 3 exons. NCBI's taxonomy places the organism in Eukaryota, Metazoa, Chordata, Mammalia, Rodentia, Bathyergidae. The record is from RefSeq and is a predicted model, not a curated record.